Molecule: long non-coding RNA, 958 nt
Organism: Podarcis muralis (Common wall lizard)
Lineage: Eukaryota; Metazoa; Chordata; Lepidosauria; Squamata; Lacertidae
Source: RefSeq, a predicted model, not a curated record
AAAUCAGGUAUAGGGAACCGGUGACACUCCAGAUGUUGCUGAACUAACUACAACUCCCAGCAAGCAUGGCUAAUGGUCAGGGAUGGUGAGAGCUGUAGGCCAGCAACAUCUGGCAGCCAGAGUUUCCCCACAUCUGAUUAAGAUGGAAGGAUGUCCUUCCCCUACUUUCCUCACCUAGUCCAAUCAGUGCACAUGGCACAAAGCCUGCCUGGCAAGGGGGUCAGUGUGGAGGAGGUCUCGUGUCACCUAAAGGUUUUUAGGGCCACUCAACGUGAGUGCUGGUUGAAUCCCUUCUGCUUUGCCAAAGGCGGUGGUGGGAGAAGUCUCAAACGAACAAGGAGAGAGAAGGGCUACAUGGCUCUAGAGUAAUAAUGGGGAACCUUUGUCCUCAUAGGUGGUGGUGGGACUCCAACUCCCAUCAGCCCCAGCAAGCAGCACAGCCAAUGGCCAGAGAGGAUGGGAGAGGUAUUCCAGCAACAUCUGGGGGAAAGAUGAGUGAGAUAAUGAAGAAGAACAAACAGUGCUGGCAGGACUGAAACUGUAUCGGCCGCAGGCAGGUGAAGGCUUGCCCGUUGCUGGGGCAGCCGAGUGUCAUGUAUCAUCGGGCGGCUUUGUCUGGCCCCAGCCAUCCCCUGGAACAGCACUGGUUGAGCAAACAGCGGCAACCGCCAAGCCGCUUGACAUUCGUAAGCCAAGACCCAGGAAACAGAUCCUGCAAAGGUGGCUGGGAAACUUCCCACUGCUUGGGGGAAAGGGAACAGAAUCCGUUAUCAAAGGAGAAGGAAGAUAACCUGGUGGAAAAAACAGUCUUUAUGGAGGAAAUUACCAAGAGUGACUGAGUGCAAUUAUAUGCACACUUCCUUGUGAGUUUUAGAUCCAGUGUCAGACUUUUUGCUGUUGUCAACUGGUGAAAGAUCCUGCCCCAACACUAUGUUACACCAGAGGAGAGAGACUUACC